This is a long non-coding RNA of Vicia villosa (hairy vetch), 436 nucleotides long. RefSeq lists it as uncharacterized. The transcript is spliced from 2 exons. NCBI's taxonomy places the organism in Eukaryota, Viridiplantae, Streptophyta, Magnoliopsida, Fabales, Fabaceae. The record is from RefSeq and is a predicted model, not a curated record.
GGUCAAAAAAAUUUAAAUUUAUUAUAGACAUUGGAGAAAAAUAUGGUUCAAAUUCUCAAAUUUGUUUCUGCAUUGAUAAUCUUUCUUUCUCUGUUUACUAAGCAUGCUUAUAGCGGUAAACCUAAACCGAUUCCUCUAUGGCCAUGCAACACUAGAGCUGAUUGUAUAAACAAAGAGUGUAACUUUCCUGCGAAACCGUUUUGUGUUUCUUCAAAGUGUUUGUGUGUGUAAGAGCAUGAAUAUGUUUUGAAAAAUAAUUAUGUGCUUCUUCUAUAUAUGUAUAUCUUGUAUAAUCUAUGUAUUAGUACCUUAUGAUGUUAGUACUUUUCAUGUUUCUAUGAUUUAUGAGUUUGUUUUACAAGAUCAAAGUGUAAUAAUUAUAAAUAAAAAUAUGUGCAUAUAUUUGCUUGAUUUAUAAAAAAAAAUGUUGAGAAAA